UUGCAGAUAUGGAGACAUGGUGCCUAAGACGAUCGCAGGGAAGAUAUUUGGCUCUAUCUGCUCGCUGAGUGGUGUCCUGGUCAUUGCUCUGCCAGUCCCUGUGAUAGUCUCUAAC
Molecule: non-coding RNA, 115 nt
Organism: Cricetulus griseus (Chinese hamster)
Lineage: Eukaryota; Metazoa; Chordata; Mammalia; Rodentia; Cricetidae
Source: Rfam